AUAUAAUUUAAAAGGAAAGAUGGUUGGCAUCUCUCCUGACAGGACGGGAACAGCCUUCGGGUUUUCCUUGUACACAUCGGUUAAAAGCGUACACAUCGGUUAAAAGCUACCCACCUCUUGAU
Molecule: non-coding RNA, 122 nt
Filed under: Phaseolus vulgaris (common bean)
Lineage: Eukaryota; Viridiplantae; Streptophyta; Magnoliopsida; Fabales; Fabaceae
Source: RNAcentral